GCCACUUCUUGCCGGCCACCGUGCGGAGGU
This 30-nucleotide small RNA is filed under the name Bombyx mori (domestic silkworm). Its description in RNAcentral is "ovarian small RNA-16598". The record is from RNAcentral. Lineage: Eukaryota; Metazoa; Arthropoda; Insecta; Lepidoptera; Bombycidae.